This 253-nucleotide ribosomal RNA is filed under the name uncultured bacterium. RNAcentral describes it as "partial 16S ribosomal RNA". It matches the Rfam family "Bacterial small subunit ribosomal RNA", at positions 524 to 776 of the family's 1533-position model. The record is from RNAcentral.
UACGUAGGGGGCUAGCGUUGUCCGGAAUCAUUGGGCGUAAAGCGCGUGUAGGCGGCCCGGUAAGUCCGCUGUGAAAGUCGGGGGCUCAACCCUCGGAUGCCGGUGGAUACUGUCGGGCUAGAGUACGGAAGAGGCGAGUGGAAUUCCUGGUGUAGCGGUGAAAUGCGCAGAUAUCAGGAGGAACACCAAUUGCGAAGGCAGCUCGCUGGGACGUCACUGACGCUGAGACGCGAAAGCCAGGGGAGCGAACGGG